Molecule: non-coding RNA, 111 nt
Organism: Acanthosepion pharaonis
Lineage: Eukaryota; Metazoa; Mollusca; Cephalopoda; Sepiida; Sepiidae
Source: the annotation of a GenBank genome assembly
UUACGGCCACAUCGCGGUGAAACUGGGGUUCCCGUACGAUCAACGAAGUUAAGCAACGUCGAAACCUGGUUAGUACCUAGAUGGGUGACCUCUCGAGAAUGACACGUGCUG